CUCCAAAUUGUAGGGUACCCCCUUUGGUUCACAUAAAGACAGGUCAUGUUUGGUUCAUACACGACCUUAAAUAUUGUUUGAGUCUAAUUUUUAGACCUGAUAAGACCCUAUCAUGAUUGGGUGUCAUACUGGAUGAACGGUCAGAUUCUGCUCAUCCCUACUAGCUAGCAAACAUGGAUGUCAAUGGAUCCGAUAGGAGAAACCGGUUAAAACCCAAUAACCCUUUCUUCUUUUUCUUUUUUAAAUUAAGAGUAUCUAUUUAAGAAACUAUUGUCAUUGUAAAUAUUUAGGAUUAACCUUGGUAUUUAGCAAUAACUUGU
Molecule: long non-coding RNA, 320 nt
Filed under: Lupinus angustifolius (narrow-leaved blue lupine)
Lineage: Eukaryota; Viridiplantae; Streptophyta; Magnoliopsida; Fabales; Fabaceae
Description: long non-coding RNA (LANG_LNC001466)
Source: RNAcentral